Mastomys coucha (southern multimammate mouse) is the source of this 133-nucleotide small nucleolar RNA. RefSeq annotates it as small nucleolar RNA SNORA17. Lineage: Eukaryota; Metazoa; Chordata; Mammalia; Rodentia; Muridae. The record is from RefSeq and is a predicted model, not a curated record. The transcript has a single exon.
ACUGUCCCUAAGAAGUGUUACAAUUGUGGCUGCUGUAUCACAUGUGUGUCAGUAGGUGGCAGAGAGGAGAAAGACUGUGUCUAUGCUCAGUGUCUGACCUACAAAACAUCUGAAUGAUUACUAACCUAAAAUU